GGAGAAUUGGCCGAGUGGUCGAAGGCGCACGCUUGGAAAGCGUGUAUGCGCGCAAGCGUAUCGGGGGUUCGAAUCCCCUGUUCUCCGCCA
This 90-nucleotide transfer RNA is filed under the name Campylobacterota bacterium. RNAcentral describes it as "Epsilonproteobacteria bacterium tRNA-Ser". It matches the Rfam family "tRNA". Rfam says of the family: Transfer RNA (tRNA) molecules are approximately 80 nucleotides in length. Their secondary structure includes four short double-helical elements and three loops (D, anti-codon, and T loops). Further hydrogen bonds mediate the characteristic L-shaped molecular structure. tRNAs have two regions of fundamental functional importance: the anti-codon, which is responsible for specific mRNA codon recognition, and the 3' end, to which the tRNAs corresponding amino acid is attached (by aminoacyl-tRNA synthetases). tRNAs cope with the degeneracy of the genetic code in two manners: having more than one tRNA (with a specific anti-codon) for a particular amino acid; and 'wobble' base-pairing, i.e. permitting non-standard base-pairing at the 3rd anti-codon position. The record is from RNAcentral. Lineage: Bacteria; Pseudomonadati; Campylobacterota. RNAcentral also lists the same sequence under 1 other name.